Molecule: ribosomal RNA, 450 nt
Filed under: uncultured bacterium
Lineage: Bacteria
Description: partial 16S ribosomal RNA
Rfam family: Bacterial small subunit ribosomal RNA
Source: RNAcentral
GUGGGGAAUUUUGGACAAUGGGGGCAACCCUGAUCCAGCCAUGCCGCGUGCGGGAAGAAGGCCUUCGGGUUGUAAACCGCUUUUGUCAGGGAAGAAAUCCUUUGGGUUAAUACCUCGGAGGGAUGACGGUACCUGAAGAAUAAGCACCGGCUAACUACGUGCCAGCAGCCGCGGUAAUACGUAGGGUGCGAGCGUUAAUCGGAAUUACUGGGCGUAAAGCGUGCGCAGGCGGUUUUGUAAGAUCGAUGUGAAAUCCCCGGGCUUAACCUGGGAACUGCGCUUGUGACUGCACGGCUAGAGUAUGGCAGAGGGGGGUGGAAUUCCACGUGUAGCAGUGAAAUGCGUAGAGAUGUGGAGGAACACCGAUGGCGAAGGCAGCCCCCUGGGCCAAUACUGACGCUCAUGCACGAAAGCGUGGGGAGCAAACAGGAUUAGAAACCCUAGUAGUCC